This 1531-nucleotide ribosomal RNA is filed under the name uncultured Planctomycetota bacterium. RNAcentral describes it as "bacterial SSU rRNA". It matches the Rfam family "Bacterial small subunit ribosomal RNA". Lineage: Bacteria; Pseudomonadati; Planctomycetota. The record is from RNAcentral.
AGAGUUUGAUCCUGGCUCAGAACGAACGCUGGCGGCGUGGAUUAGGCAUGCAAGUCGAACGAGGAUAUAUCCUUCGGGAUAUAAGCCGAGUGGCACAAGGGUGAGCAAUGCAUAGAUUACCUACCUUUAGGAUAAGGACAACUUUGUGAAAACGGAGCUAAUACUUAAUAAUACAAAAGAAAAUAAUUUUCUUUUGUCAAAGGGAGGGUAGCAAUACCUUUCGCCUAGAGAGGGGUUUAUGUCCUAUCAGCUUGUUGGUGGGGUAAUAGCCUACCAAGGCAAAGACGGGUAGCCGGUUUAAGAGGAUGGUCGGCCACACUGGGACUGAGACACUGCCCAGACUUCUACGGAAGGCUGCAGUCGAGAAUCUUUCGCAAUGCCCGAAAGGGUGACGAAGCGACGCCGCGUGGGUGAAGAAGGCCUUCGGGUUGUAAAACCCUGUCAGGAGUUAUGAAAUGUAAGUACGCUAAUAUCGUGCUUAUUUGACAAAGGCUCCAAAGGAAGCCACGGCUAACUCUGUGCCAGCAGCCGCGGUAAUACAGAGGUGGCGAGCGUUGUUCGGAAUUAUUGGGCGUAAAGAGCACGUAGGUGGGUUUGCAAGUCAGAUGUGAAAGCCUUCUGUUCAACGGGAGAAUUGCAUCUGAAACUGCUAAUCUUGAGUAUAGGAGGGGAGAAUGGAACUUCUGGUGGAGCGGUGAAAUGCGUAGAUAUCAGAAGGAACGCCGGCGGCGAAAGCGAUUCUCUGGCCUAUUACUGACACUCAGUGUGCGAAAGCUAGGGGAGCAAACGGGAUUAGAUACCCCGGUAGUCCUAGCCGUAAACGAUGGGCACUAAGUAGAGGGAAUUACCUAUGUUCUCUCUGCCGUAGCUAACGCAUUAAGUGCCCCGCCUGGGGAGUACGGCCGCAAGGCUAAAACUCAAAAGAAUUGACGGGGGCUCGCACAAGCGGUGGAGCAUGUGGCUUAAUUCGAUGCAACGCGAAAAACCUUACCGGGGCCUGACAUGAUAGAAGUAGGAACCUGAAAGGGGGACGAACGGUAUCCAGUCCGUAGCUAUUACAGGUGUUGCAUGGCUGUCGUCAGCUCGUGUCGUGAGACGUUGGGUUAAGUCCCCUAACGAGCGAAACCCUUGUUUUUAGUUACCAGCGGGUUAUGCCGGGUACUCUAGAAAGACUGCCGUCGUCAAGACGGAGGAAGGUGGGGAUGACGUCAAGUCAUCAUGGCCCUUAUGCCCCGGGCUGCACACGUGCUACAAUGGUCGGUACAAACGGAAGCGAAGCCGAGAGGUGUAGCGAAUCCUAAAAAGCCGAUCUCAGUUCGGAUUGGAGGCUGAAAUUCGCCUCCAUGAAGUUGGAAUCGCUAGUAAUCGCGGAUCAGCAAUGUCGCGGUGAAUAUGUUCCCGAGCCUUGUACACACCGCCCGUCAAGCCACCCAAGCAGGAUGCACCCGAAAACAUUAUAUCUAACCAGGGCAACUUGGAGGAAAAUGUUGAAGGAGUGUUUUGUGAGGAGGACUAAGUCGUAACAAGGUAA